UGUGCAAAACUUCUUGGCCCAGUUAUAAAUUGACAUUUUCCUUUAAGCCCAAUUUUGUUACAAUCCAAGCUGGGCUGGCCCAUUUAGAAAAUAGUCACAAACAAUAUAAUAACAAUUACUAAUUACACAAUAAUGACCUUACAUAAUUGGUGCUCCAAACAUAACAUUUCAUAUAUGUAUCAUAAAUGGGCAUACAAAAUGGCUCCAUAAACUAACAUACAGUACUAGCUAUAUUUUUUCACUAAACAAGUUAAUUUGUUCCAGCUAUUUAUGUGGCCACCCUGCAGCAAGGAAGGCAGCUUGCAGCCGCUGCACACGUUUCUGUGGCUACCCUGCACCACUGAAGACAACUUGCAGUCGCUGCAUACCAACUGGUUACUCAUGCCUGCAAUUAGUAAACACCAAUGUGAUACAGGUGAGUGGUGAUGCAGCUAGUAGACAUGUAAUACGAAGUGUAGAACUUAUAAUAUGAUACUGGUUAUGCAGUCAAGUGCUAAAAGGCAAUUCAUAGCUUUCACUAAAACUGUUAUCUAGAUAGUAUAUGAUUUCCCCCUACUAGCUGCCAUGGUAUAGGUGGAUGACUUUUCAGUUUACGAAAAAAAGCAUGCAGAAUAUUUUAAAGAAGCAUGGAGACGCAUAUACUUGGUGCCCGGGAUCAAGUAACAUAUAUAUGAAGAUGUCAUUUAUCUUGGGGUAAAAUCAAAGCACAUUAGUUAGAAAAAAUUUCAGAAAGCAGUAGGUACAAUGCUGAAAUAAUGUGACAUAGUACAUCAGAUUUGAUCAUUACUAUCUGAACCCUGAAUUGCAACAAAUUCAGAUGGUGAAACAAUUAAUAAAUGUACAUGUAUAUACAAUAGGCAUCGAUAUAUGUUUUCCUCUACAGAAUGACCAUACAACAGAAAAUCAAGUCAUUCUUCUAGUCAUGAAACAACCAAAAAAACUAAAUGAAAAUUGUUUUUACUAACCUAUCUACAAUUCAAGAUGCAGCAUAUAUCCUUCUCGUGUAAAAGCAGUAGCUUUAGUGUUGCAAUUUUAACACAUAAAUUCAGUUUAUAAUAGUAUUUAAAUUUCUAAAACAGUAGCUUUCAAGGAAAAGCUUGCGGACAGUUCAAUCCAUGGUGUUAGCUUGUUUCUCACUUACAGGGCAGUAGUGUCUACUACGAUAGCGAUUAUCCUUUGGCUAUCUAAACACUAUCACCAAUUUUACUGUUUGCAACUGUAUAUACAUGUUAUCUUGUCGACAUAACAUUAAAAAGUAUAACAAAGGGUCACUGCUAAUCUGCGGCCACACCACUUUCCAUGGUGUGCAAGUUCGAAAAAUGCAUACCUAGUCCAAAUGGCUUGCAGAAAUGAAUGGGAGCCCUUCAGUUGCAGUUACUGAUUGUGCUGGUGUUGCAGAUGAAGUCGAAGACUAGACCACAGUGCCAUGGCGAAGCGUGCAGAUAAUCUUCGCGUCCAUUGGGGCAGCAUCCGCACGCCGGCGACCGGCAGCAUUGGGCCCUCAAAGCCAUGAAUGCGCCGCGGAUCUCGCCGGAGCCAUUGAUGGUGAUGCCCUUGAGGAUGAACUUCCUAGCACAGAUCAGGUAUUCUCUCGCGUGGAUCUGGGCUGUGCUCGCUGGUGCCACCUCAUCACAGCUGGAUCCGUCUUCCAGGACCUACAAUACCAUUAACGAAGGAGCCGUCAGCGCCACAAGCAUCAUUAUGUCACCAUCGAUGGUGUGGACGAGGCUUGGAUUGGUGAGCCCUCACGCCACCCUAGCCGAGCCACCGACCCUUCACGCCCUAAGCGAAAUGGCCAUGCUGCUGCUUCGUGGCCUUGGGCGGGUGGCUGCGUCAAGGAGGCCGGACGCUCUACUACUCCGAUGCGCUGCCAACCAUGGCCACCUCGCUCUCCUCCCUCACUGCUGGGAACAGGAGAUAGGGUGCGGCUCAGAGUGGCAGAUGGGGUGCGAGGGCUGCGGAAAGGGAAUUGUGGCUAGGAUUUCGAUAGCCUAGUAUAUAUUAGGCGUGGGCGUAUUUCUAUCCAUCCGAUCGUAAAUCAAUGGCCAUAAAACCAUGGGCCGAACAGGCCAUUACUGAAGGGCAGUUGGGCUAUUGGGCUCAACACCUAAUUUUUAUAUUUUUUUCUUCCUUUUUAGCUGUAGGCGGAGGUGCACGCUGGGAUUCCAAACUUUGGUGUGCGCGGGGUUCUAAAUUUUGGUAUGCGCGGGAACUAAUUUGGGGUUGGCUGCAUACAAAAUUUUUAUAGUAUCAUAAGUGACCUUAAAUGAAUGUAAAUUAAAAAAAAAUUAACUACAA
This 2298-nucleotide long non-coding RNA is filed under the name Sorghum bicolor (sorghum). RNAcentral's name for it is "long non-coding RNA (SBIC_LNC007648)". The record is from RNAcentral. Lineage: Eukaryota; Viridiplantae; Streptophyta; Magnoliopsida; Poales; Poaceae.